Molecule: long non-coding RNA, 398 nt
Organism: Alnus glutinosa
Lineage: Eukaryota; Viridiplantae; Streptophyta; Magnoliopsida; Fagales; Betulaceae
Exons: 2
Source: RefSeq, a predicted model, not a curated record
UUAACUCUAGUGCUCUCAUGAUCUACUGAGGUUCAAGGCACAAAGCUGAAAUACGAUUAGAGAUGGUGUUGCGAGUGUUUUGUUGAAGGAUGUUAUCCUAGUAUGGAAGAAUGAUGUUUCUUUGGCUGCAGGUACUUUGGUAUAGUUGAGGGGUUGGUAGCAGUGUACUUGGGAUAUUAUGACUGAAGCUCGCCGCGACUGUUGUAAUUGUCGGACCACGGGUUGUCCACUAUUUUAUAGGUUUGGUAUGGCUUGUGACGUUUGUGUCACUUAUUCUUUGUUAAGCCAUUAUUGUUAUGUAAAUAUUGUGUUAAUAAGACUCAAACAGAUAGAUGUUAAAUGGCUCAAUAUUGUAAUUAAUUUGUGAUAAAUGUAUAAGUUGUAAUUUCCGCUAUUCA